RNAcentral lists this transfer RNA (74 nucleotides) under Candidatus Levyibacteriota bacterium. Its description in RNAcentral is "tRNA-Arg". It matches the Rfam family "tRNA". From Rfam's summary of the family: Transfer RNA (tRNA) molecules are approximately 80 nucleotides in length. Their secondary structure includes four short double-helical elements and three loops (D, anti-codon, and T loops). Further hydrogen bonds mediate the characteristic L-shaped molecular structure. tRNAs have two regions of fundamental functional importance: the anti-codon, which is responsible for specific mRNA codon recognition, and the 3' end, to which the tRNAs corresponding amino acid is attached (by aminoacyl-tRNA synthetases). tRNAs cope with the degeneracy of the genetic code in two manners: having more than one tRNA (with a specific anti-codon) for a particular amino acid; and 'wobble' base-pairing, i.e. permitting non-standard base-pairing at the 3rd anti-codon position. The record is from RNAcentral. Lineage: Bacteria; Candidatus Levyibacteriota.
GCGCCUGUAGCUCAGCUGGAUAGAGCAAGUCGGUUCUAACGAUGAGGUCGGGGGUUCGAAUCCCUCCAGGCGUA